UGGCUCAUUAAAUCAGUUAUCGUUUAUUUGAUAGUACCUUACUACUUGGAUAACCGUGGUAAUUCUAGAGCUAAUACAUGCUUAAAAUCCCGACUCACGAAGGGAUGUAUUUAUUAGAUUAAAAACCAAUGCCCUUCGGGGCUCUUUGGUGAUUCAUAAUAACUUUUCGAAUCGCAUGGCCUUGCGCCGGCGAUGGUUCAUUCAAAUUUCUGCCCUAUCAACUUUCGAUGGCAGGGUCUUGGCCUGCCAUGGUGACAACGGGUAACGGAGGGUUAGGGCUCGACCCCGGAGAAGGAGCCUGAGAAACGGCUACUACAUCCAAGGAAGGCAGCAGGCGCGCAAAUUACCCAAUCCCGACUCGGGGAGGUAGUGACAAUAAAUACUGAUACAGGGCUCUUUUGGGUCUUGUAAUUGGAAUGAGUACAAUUUAAAUCCCUUAACGAGGAACAAUUGGAGGGCAAGUCUGGUGCCAGCAGCCGCGGUAAUUCCAGCUCCAAUAGCGUAUAUUAAAGUUGUUGCAGUUAAAAAGCUCGUAGUUGAACCUUGGGCCUGGCUGGCCGGUCCGCCUCACCGCGUGCACUGGUUCGGCCGGGCCUUUCCCUCUGGGGAACCGCAUGCCCUUCACUGGGUGUGUCGGGGAACCAGGACUUUUACUGUGAAAAAAUUAGAGUGUUCAAAGCAGGCCUAUGCUCGAAUACAUUAGCAUGGAAUAAUAGAAUAGGACGUGUGGUUCUAUUUUGUUGGUUUCUAGGACCGCCGUAAUGAUUAAUAGGGACAGUCGGGGGCGUCAGUAUUCAAUUGUCAGAGGUGAAAUUCUUGGAUUUAUUGAAGACUAACUACUGCGAAAGCAUUCGCCAAGGAUGUUUUCAUUAAUCAGGAACGAAAGUUAGGGGAUCGAAGACGAUCAGAUACCGUCGUAGUCUUAACCAUAAACUAUGCCGACUAGGGAUCGGGCGAUGUUAUUAUUUGACUCGCUCGGCACCUUACGAGAAAUAAAGUCUUUGGG
This 1006-nucleotide ribosomal RNA is filed under the name Arthrinium phaeospermum. RNAcentral's name for it is "SSU rRNA". It matches the Rfam family "Eukaryotic small subunit ribosomal RNA", at positions 94 to 1111 of the family's 1831-position model. Lineage: Eukaryota; Fungi; Ascomycota; Sordariomycetes; Amphisphaeriales; Apiosporaceae. The record is from RNAcentral.